GAGCUCAAAUUGCAACACCAGGAGCUUUUUUGUUGCAUGCCCAACAAUUCGCACGUCAGCUGUCGAAAUUUAAACAGCCAAUAAAACUCCACUUUGUAGAGUUUACGUAAAACUGAACAAUAGAAAUUGCAUGCUGGUAGGUAGAGUUUUAUUGGCUGUUUAAAUAUCGCCAGCUGACGUGCGAAUUUGGCGUGAUAUUUCCUCAAGGAAAUUUUGGGCAUGCAACAAAAAAGUUCCUGGUGUUGCAACUUGAGCUCAAAGAACAAAUAGCGCAUAGCUAUAUAUAUAUAUCUUUGUUUUAAUGCAACCUCACGAAAAUAGUGUGAAUUGUUUAUUACGGACAUAAGAAAGGAAUUCUACGACAUUGUUGUCAACCAGGUGAAGCUGAUGAUAAAGCAGGAUGAUGGCCUUGGAAUGCCCUCCUAUGACGACAUCUUCCACGAUGAAAAGGAAGGCAGCGAGGACUGGGAAUAAGAGCGAUGGAGGCUCAGUGCCUUCUGGGAAACGGAGAUGAUGCGAUGAGAUGCGAGAUCCUGUUUGACUAUGACCAAUAUGAAUACCGUGGAACUUCAGUGGACUCCAAUCAAAUUGUAGAAACAUCUCAAGGAUGAUCAAUGGAAACAGAAUGCACC
Molecule: long non-coding RNA, 632 nt
Organism: Oncorhynchus gorbuscha (pink salmon)
Lineage: Eukaryota; Metazoa; Chordata; Actinopteri; Salmoniformes; Salmonidae
Exons: 4
Source: RefSeq, a predicted model, not a curated record